RNAcentral lists this ribosomal RNA (467 nucleotides) under uncultured bacterium. Its description in RNAcentral is "partial 16S ribosomal RNA". It matches the Rfam family "Bacterial small subunit ribosomal RNA", at positions 29 to 507 of the family's 1533-position model. The record is from RNAcentral.
ACGAACGCUGGCGGCGUGCUUAACCCAUGCAAGUCGAACGGAAAGGCCCUGCUUUUGUGGGGUGCUCGAGUGGCGAACGGGUGAGUAACACGUGAGUAACCUGCCCUUGACUUUGGGAUAACUUCAGGAAACUGGGGCUAAUACCGGAUAGGAGCUCCUGCUGCAUGGUGGGGGUUGGAAAGUUUCGGCGGUUGGGGAUGGACUCGCGGCUUAUCAGCUUGUUGGUGGGGUAGUGGCUUACCAAGGCUUUGACGGGUAGCCGGCCUGAGAGGGGGACCGGCCAAAUUGGGACUGAGAUACGGCCCAGACGCCUACGGGAGGCAGCAGUGGGGAAUAUUGCACAAUGGGCGGAAGCCUGAUGCAGCAACGCCGCGUGCGGGAUGACGGCCUUCGGGUUGUAAACCGCUUUCGCCUGUGACGAAGCGUGAGUGACGGUAAUGGGUAAAGAAGCACCGGCUAACUACGUG